RNAcentral lists this unclassified non-coding RNA (306 nucleotides) under plant metagenome. Its description in RNAcentral is "partial contains 5.8S ribosomal RNA, internal transcribed spacer 2, and large subunit ribosomal RNA". The stretch from base 1 to 105 matches the Rfam family "5.8S ribosomal RNA", at positions 50 to 154 of the family's 154-position model. The record is from RNAcentral.
GAAAUGCGAUAAGUAGUGUGAAUUGCAGAAUUCAGUGAAUCAUCGGAUCUUUGAACGCACAUUGCGCCCCUUGGUAUUCCAUGGGGCAUGCCUGUUCGAGCGUCAUCUACACCCUCAAGCUCUGCUUGGUGUUGGGCGUCUUUGUCCCGCCUCCGCGCGCGGACUCGCCCCAAAUUCAUUGGCAGCGGUCCUUGCCUCCUCUCGCGCAGCACAUUGCGCUUCUCGAGGUGUUGCGGCCCGCGUCCAGAAAGCAAUCGUUACCGUCUUUGACCUCGGAUCAGGUAGGGAUACCCGCUGAACUUAAGC